AUUGAACGCUGGCGGCAGGCCUAACACAUGCAAGUCGAACGAGUGGCGGACGGGUGAGUAAUGUCUGGGAAACUGCCUGAUGGAGGGGGAUAACUACUGGAAACGGUAGCUAAUACCGCAUACCAUCGGAUGUGCCCAGAUGGGCUUGGCUAGUAGGUGGGGUAAAGGGUCACCUAGGCGACGAUCCCUAGCUGGUCUGAGAGGAUGACCAGCCACACGGGAACUGAGACACGGUCCAGACUCCUACGGGAGGCAGCCGUGGGGAAUAUUGCACAAUGGGCGCAGGCCUAAUACAGCCAGGCCGCGUGUAUGAAGAGGGCCUUCGGGUGGUAAAGUACUUUCAGCGGGGAGGCGUUACCCGCAGAAGAAGCGCCGGCUAACUCCGUGCCAGCAGCCGCGGUAAUUC
RNAcentral lists this ribosomal RNA (406 nucleotides) under uncultured bacterium. Its description in RNAcentral is "partial 16S ribosomal RNA". It matches the Rfam family "Bacterial small subunit ribosomal RNA", at positions 29 to 526 of the family's 1533-position model. The record is from RNAcentral.